GAACGAACGCUGGCGGCAGGCCUAACACAUGCAAGUCGAGCGGAUGACGGGAGCUUGCUCCUUGAUUCAGCGGCGGACGGGUGAGUAAUGCCUAGGAAUCUGCCUGGUAGUGGGGGACAACGUUUCGAAAGGAACGCUAAUACCGCAUACGUCCUACGGGAGAAAGCAGGGGACCUUCGGGCCUUGCGCUAUCAGAUGAGCCUAGGUCGGAUUAGCUUGUUGGUGAGGUAAUGGCUCACCAAGGCGACGAUCCGUAACUGGUCUGAGAGGAUGAUCAGUCACACUGGAACUGAGACACGGUCC
This 303-nucleotide ribosomal RNA is filed under the name uncultured Pseudomonas sp. RNAcentral describes it as "bacterial SSU rRNA". It matches the Rfam family "Bacterial small subunit ribosomal RNA", at positions 27 to 332 of the family's 1533-position model. Lineage: Bacteria; Pseudomonadati; Pseudomonadota; Gammaproteobacteria; Pseudomonadales; Pseudomonadaceae. The record is from RNAcentral.